RNAcentral lists this ribosomal RNA (253 nucleotides) under uncultured bacterium. RNAcentral describes it as "partial 16S ribosomal RNA". It matches the Rfam family "Bacterial small subunit ribosomal RNA", at positions 524 to 776 of the family's 1533-position model. The record is from RNAcentral.
UACGAAGGGGGCUAGCGUUGUUCGGAAUUACUGGGCGUAAAGCGCGCGCAGGCGGUUUUUCAAGUCAGUGGUGAAAGCCCGGAGCUCAACUCCGGAAAUGCCAUUGAAACUGCAAAACUUGAGAACGAGAGAGGUGAGUGGAAUUCCCAGUGUAGAGGUGAAAUUCGUAGAUAUUGGGAAGAACACCGGUGGCGAAGGCGGCUCACUGGCUCGUUUCUGACGCUCAGGCGCGAUAGCAUGGGGAUCAAACAGG